This 372-nucleotide ribosomal RNA is filed under the name uncultured bacterium. Its description in RNAcentral is "bacterial SSU rRNA". It matches the Rfam family "Bacterial small subunit ribosomal RNA", at positions 29 to 412 of the family's 1533-position model. The record is from RNAcentral.
AACGAACGCUGGCGGCAGGCCUAACACAUGCAAGUCGAACGCCGUAGCAAUACGGAGUGGCAGACGGGUGAGUAACGCGUGGGAACAUACCCUCCGGUUCGGAAUAACUCAGGGAAACUUGAGCUAAUACCGGAUACGUCCAAGGUUUUAAUCGGCCUUGGAGAAAGAUUUAUCGCUGGAGGAUUCGGCCCGCGUCUGAUUAGCUUGUUGGUGAGGUAAUGGCUCACCAAGGCGACGAUCAGUAGCUGGUCUGAGAGGAUGAUCAGCCACAUUGGGACUGAGACACGGCCCAAACUCCUACGGGAGGCAGCAGGUGGGGAAUAUUGGACAAUGGGCGAAGGCCUGAUCCAGCCAUGCCGCGUGAGUGAUGAA